RNAcentral lists this ribosomal RNA (2989 nucleotides) under Salmonella enterica subsp. enterica. Its description in RNAcentral is "23S ribosomal RNA". It matches the Rfam family "Bacterial large subunit ribosomal RNA". Lineage: Bacteria; Pseudomonadati; Pseudomonadota; Gammaproteobacteria; Enterobacterales; Enterobacteriaceae. The record is from RNAcentral.
GGUUAAGCGACUAAGCGUACACGGUGGAUGCCCUGGCAGUCAGAGGCGAUGAAGGGCGUGCUAAUCUGCGAUAAGCGCCGGUAAGGUGAUAUGAACCGUUAUAACCGGCGAUACCCGAAUGGGGAAACCCAGUGUGACUCGUCACACUAUCAUUAACUGAAUCCAUAGGUUAAUGAGGCGAACCGGGGGAACUGAAACAUCUAAGUACCCCGAGGAAAAGAAAUCAACCGAGAUUCCCCCAGUAGCGGCGAGCGAACGGGGAGGAGCCCAGAGCCUGAAUCAGCAUGUGUGUUAGUGGAAGCGUCUGGAAAGGCGCGCGAUACAGGGUGACAGCCCCGUACACAAAAGCGCAUGUGCUGUGAGCUCGAUGAGUAGGGCGGGACACGUGGUAUCCUGUCUGAAUAUGGGGGGACCAUCCUCCAAGGCUAAAUACUCCUGACUGACCGAUAGUGAACCAGUACCGUGAGGGAAAGGCGAAAAGAACCCCGGCGAGGGGAGUGAAAAAGAACCUGAAACCGUGUACGUACAAGCAGUGGGAGCACAGGUUUACCUGUGUGACUGCGUACCUUUUGUAUAAUGGGUCAGCGACUUAUAUUCUGUAGCAAGGUUAACCGAAUAGGGGAGCCGGAGGGAAACCGAGUCUUAAUUGGGCGUUAAGUUGCAGGGUAUAGACCCGAAACCCGGUGAUCUAGCCAUGGGCAGGUUGAAGGUUGGGUAACACUAACUGGAGGACCGAACCGACUAAUGUUGAAAAAUUAGCGGAUGACCUGUGGCUGGGGGUGAAAGGCCAAUCAAACCGGGAGAUAGCUGGUUCUCCCCGAAAGCUAUUUAGGUAGCGCCUCGUGAAUUCAUCUCCGGGGGUAGAGCACUGUUUCGGCUAGGGGGCCAUCCCGGCUUACCAACCCGAUGCAAACUGCGAAUACCGGAGAAUGUUAUCACGGGAGACACACGGCGGGUGCUAACGUCCGUCGUGAAGAGGGAAACAACCCAGACCGCCAGCUAAGGUCCCAAAGUCAUGGUUAAGUGGGAAACGAUGUGGGAAGGCCCAGACAGCCAGGAUGUUGGCUUAGAAGCAGCCAUCAUUUAAAGAAAGCGUAAUAGCUCACUGGUCGAGUCGGCCUGCGCGGAAGAUGUAACGGGGCUAAACCAUGCACCGAAGCUGCGGCAGCGAACGUAUCACUUAAAGCGAUUCAGCGGGUUACGAUUGACGGAGCGAAGCGACGUCAAAGCGUAUACAAAGUCGAGUCGGUUUAAGGAUACGUUCGUUGGGUAGGGGAGCGUUCUGUAAGCCUGCGAAGGUGGCCUGUGAGGGUUGCUGGAGGUAUCAGAAGUGCGAAUGCUGACAUAAGUAACGAUAAAGCGGGUGAAAAGCCCGCUCGCCGGAAGACCAAGGGUUCCUGUCCAACGUUAAUCGGGGCAGGGUGAGUCGACCCCUAAGGCGAGGCCGAAAGGCGUAGUCGAUGGGAAACGGGUUAAUAUUCCCGUACUUGGUGUUACUGCGAAGGGGGGACGGAGAAGGCUAUGUUGGCCGGGCGACGGUUGUCCCGGUUUAAGCGUGUAGGUGUGUGUUCCAGGUAAAUCCGGUUCACUUUAACACUGAGGCGUGACGACGAGGCACUACGGUGCUGAAGCAACAAAUGCCCUGCUUCCAGGAAAAGCCUCUAAGCAUCAGGUAACAUCAAAUCGUACCCCAAACCGACACAGGUGGUCAGGUAGAGAAUACCAAGGCGCUUGAGAGAACUCGGGUGAAGGAACUAGGCAAAAUGGUGCCGUAACUUCGGGAGAAGGCACGCUGACAUGUAGGUGAAGUGAUUUACUCACGGAGCUGAAGUCAGUCGAAGAUACCAGCUGGCUGCAACUGUUUAUUAAAAACACAGCACUGUGCAAACACGAAAGUGGACGUAUACGGUGUGACGCCUGCCCGGUGCCGGAAGGUUAAUUGAUGGGGUCAGCGCAAGCGAAGCUCCUGAUCGAAGCCCCGGUAAACGGCGGCCGUAACUAUAACGGUCCUAAGGUAGCGAAAUUCCUUGUCGGGUAAGUUCCGACCUGCACGAAUGGCGUAAUGAUGGCCAGGCUGUCUCCACCCGAGACUCAGUGAAAUUGAACUCGCUGUGAAGAUGCAGUGUACCCGCGGCAAGACGGAAAGACCCCGUGAACCUUUACUAUAGCUUGACACUGAACAUUGAGCCUUGAUGUGUAGGAUAGGUGGGAGGCUUUGAAGUGUGGACGCCAGUCUGCAUGGAGCCGACCUUGAAAUACCACCCUUUAAUGUUUGAUGUUCUAACGUGGACCCGUAAUCCGGGUUGCGGACAGUGUCUGGUGGGUAGUUUGACUGGGGCGGUCUCCUCCUAAAGAGUAACGGAGGAGCACGAAGGUUGGCUAAUCCUGGUCGGACAUCAGGAGGUUAGUGCAAUGGCAUAAGCCAGCUUGACUGCGAGCGUGACGGCGCGAGCAGGUGCGAAAGCAGGUCAUAGUGAUCCGGUGGUUCUGAAUGGAAGGGCCAUCGCUCAACGGAUAAAAGGUACUCCGGGGAUAACAGGCUGAUACCGCCCAAGAGUUCAUAUCGACGGCGGUGUUUGGCACCUCGAUGUCGGCUCAUCACAUCCUGGGGCUGAAGUAGGUCCCAAGGGUAUGGCUGUUCGCCAUUUAAAGUGGUACGCGAGCUGGGUUUAGAACGUCGUGAGACAGUUCGGUCCCUAUCUGCCGUGGGCGCUGGAGAACUGAGGGGGGCUGCUCCUAGUACGAGAGGACCGGAGUGGACGCAUCACUGGUGUUCGGGUUGUCAUGCCAAUGGCACUGCCCGGUAGCUAAAUGCGGAAGAGAUAAGUGCUGAAAGCAUCUAAGCACGAAACUUGCCCCGAGAUGAGUUCUCCCUGAGACUUAGAGUCUCCUGAAGGAACGUUGAAGACGACGACGUUGAUAGGCCGGGUGUGUAAGCGCAGCGAUGCGUUGAGCUAACCGGUACUAAUGAACCGUGAGGCUUAACCUU